RNAcentral lists this transfer RNA (56 nucleotides) under Chelonia mydas (Green sea turtle). It matches the Rfam family "tRNA", at positions 9 to 63 of the family's 71-position model. From Rfam's summary of the family: Transfer RNA (tRNA) molecules are approximately 80 nucleotides in length. Their secondary structure includes four short double-helical elements and three loops (D, anti-codon, and T loops). The record is from Rfam by way of RNAcentral. Lineage: Eukaryota; Metazoa; Chordata; Testudines; Cheloniidae.
AGUCUAGUGGUUAGAGCACUGGACUGGGACUCCAGAGACCUGGGUUCAGUUCCCAG